CUUUACUACAGCCUGACAUUGUGUCGUUGCCUCACGCGCGUAGCGUAGGAGGGACCCUUUGAAGCGUUUCCUUCGGGAGACGUGGAGGGGCCAAUGAAACACCUCCCACGUGUUGCAACGCCACUCACCCCGGGUAAUGACCGGGGGACCGUGUUUGGUGGGUAGUUUAACUGGGGCGGUUGCCUCCUAAAAAGUAACGGAGGCGUGCAAAGGUCAGCUCAGCCAGGAUGGAAAUCUGGCUUUGGCGUGUAAGAGCACAAGCUGGCUUAACUGUAAGGGCUACAACCCGAGCAGAUGCGAAAGCAGGUUCUAGUGAACCGACGGUAACGUGUGAGAGUGCCGUCGAUCAACGGAUAAAAGCUA
Molecule: ribosomal RNA, 363 nt
Filed under: uncultured organism
Description: bacterial LSU rRNA
Rfam family: Bacterial large subunit ribosomal RNA
Source: RNAcentral